GGUCUCUUAAACAGAGGCGCCGGCCUUCUAAGCCGAUGGUCACAGGUUCGAAUCCUGUCGGGAUCGCCA
RNAcentral lists this transfer RNA (69 nucleotides) under Mesorhizobium sp. B2-4-14. Its description in RNAcentral is "tRNA-Arg". It matches the Rfam family "tRNA". Rfam says of the family: Transfer RNA (tRNA) molecules are approximately 80 nucleotides in length. Their secondary structure includes four short double-helical elements and three loops (D, anti-codon, and T loops). Lineage: Bacteria; Pseudomonadati; Pseudomonadota; Alphaproteobacteria; Hyphomicrobiales; Phyllobacteriaceae. The record is from RNAcentral.